CUUAUAUUAGGCAAUCCAAACCACGUGACCUCUGGUUGGCACACAAACUAACAAAGAGGUUAUGUUUGCAUCUAUUUUUCAAUGAUUUUUCAUUGUUUAUCGUCGUAUUUUGGAUUCAUUUGGAUUUCGUUUCCUGUUUUUGUGAACUUUAUAAACUUUACCACAAUGCAAACUGAUUAUUUAAGGAAAUUAUUAUUGGAAACUCCAGAUGUUGCGAGAAAGAUAUUUAUUGAAGCUGAAAAUAAUUGGGGAUUUAGAUCCAUACGCAAUUCAGUCAGAAUUAGAUUUUACAGUAAAGUGCAGUCCAUCAAGUUACUAUUAUAGAUAUUUAUACAUAUCUGGUGGAGUCUGAUAUGUCACAGUUGCUACUCUAAGCAGCAGAUGAAAGCAUACAAAAGCCUACAGGCACAUAAAUAUUUUACAGCUGGAUUUGUUUUGAAUGGAGUAAAAAUUGUUAAUGAUUUCCUGAUUUCCAUAUUAUUGUCGGGGAGGUAUGCCUUUAUUUUAUUUAUUCACCAUUAAGAAAUAUAUGGAUAACAGUAUUAGUGUCUUUUGGAUAAAUUGGUUUUAAAUAUUAGAUUUAUUUACGUCCUAAUCUGUAAACUGCGAACUCCAUAAUUCUCUGAAAAUGAUUUAUUACUGCCAUAUAUUUGAAUUACUGUCAUGAUUGUUCUAAAAUUAUAUUAUAUGAAUGUCUGAUUUUAAAUAAAAUAUUCUCAAUCAUUGUAAAGAACGCAAAUACUCUAAUAAAAAUAAAUUUUUGUAGUUGAAGAAUUUCCAAAAAAAUAAAAUAUUUUUUUUUAGGUGAAGCAUUUCCAAAAAUCUAAUGCUAAACGACUAAAUGCUUGGGUGGGGUGAUAGCCAGUUCUGAUGACAUAGCAAAUUCACAUUGUAUGCGUAUGGCCGGUAAUAGUGAAGUCUGCAGCCAUAUUGCAGCAAUCCUAUUUUUAGCUUAGUAUGCUCAGGGCAAGACAGACGAAGAACCCAAUGUAUGUACAUAUGUUACAGCUACAUGGUUUGGAGAUAGCAACAUAUGCAUUCUCUGAUGAAAAACUAAUGAGUUUUGAAACUGUUCGGUCAGAGUGCUUGUUGCACUCACUAAACGAAUUGAAAUAUAAGAUGGCUUUGGCAUUGUGUUGCAGCGAUAUGAAAAUGGUUAUUCAUUUUUAAUUAUAAUGUACUUCUUCAUCAUGAGUAAUUAUGUAUUGGUCUUUUAAAUGUGUAUUUAUUUUUGUAAUUAGUAUCAACUUGUAAUAAUAAUAUUCAUUUAUCGUUUAAGGUAUGACUAUGUUUUGACUCUAAAAUAAAUGUUUUAAAAAUCGAA
Molecule: long non-coding RNA, 1324 nt
Organism: Diabrotica virgifera virgifera (western corn rootworm)
Lineage: Eukaryota; Metazoa; Arthropoda; Insecta; Coleoptera; Chrysomelidae
Exons: 2
Source: RefSeq, a predicted model, not a curated record